UACAGAGGGUGCAAGCGUUAAUCGGAAUUACUGGGCGUAAAGCGAGCGUAGUCGGUUAUUUAAGUCGGAUGUGAAAUCCCCGGGCUCAACCUGGGAAUUGCAUUCGAUACUGGAUAGCUAGAGUUCGGCAGAGGGAAGCGGAAUUUCGGGUGUAGCGGUGAAAUGCGUAGAUAUUGGGAGGAACACCGGUGGCGAAGGCGGCUCUCUGGACCGGUACUGACGCUGAGACGCGAAAGCCAGGGGAGCAAACGGG
Molecule: ribosomal RNA, 253 nt
Filed under: uncultured bacterium
Lineage: Bacteria
Description: partial 16S ribosomal RNA
Rfam family: Bacterial small subunit ribosomal RNA
Source: RNAcentral